Molecule: long non-coding RNA, 681 nt
Organism: Chelonus insularis
Lineage: Eukaryota; Metazoa; Arthropoda; Insecta; Hymenoptera; Braconidae
Exons: 2
Source: RefSeq, a predicted model, not a curated record
GGUUUUCUUUAAAUGGAAAACGCCCAUAUCUCCAUGUUUCAGAGUAAACAAUGUCAGAUGACGCGAUCUGUUUUUUCUUAAGCUUGCACACAACGCAUAGAUGUGUAAAAAAAAAAACAAAUUAUUUAAAGAAAAAUUCUACUUUAUUUAUUAGAAAAUAGAGAGUUUCUCUUUAUUUAACUUUUUUCUGUAGUCGUUUCAAUAAAGGUUGAUAAAAAUGACAGAACAAUCUAAAGUCACUGCACAUCAUUCACUUGAACUGGAUGAUUUCUAUAAGUUGGUAGAAGAAUUGAUGAAUGUAAUACAAAAUGCAACGUCAGAAGAACGACAGAAAUAUUUAAGGUACUUGGAAGACAAAUUAGAAAAGUGGAAGCAAGAUCUAGUAUACACAGACAUCUAGCCUAAUAAUUUAUAAAUUAAGAUCAGAAGAGAGAAGAAAAAAUUAGUAAUUAUGUUCUGAAAUAGUGAAAAAAUGUACUGAUUAAUUUAAGUUAAAGAACAAUAUCCAUAAGUCUGUCAUUACUUGUUGGAGUAUUUGAGACUUCUGAAUGUUUAGAAAUAUCCUGAACAACUUUGAUUUACAUAAUUCUAUUACACCAAACGAACUUAUUGAUAUGUAAAAAAAAAAAAAUAUUUUCAUGUUUUACUUUUAUACGAAUAAUAUGAUUUCCGAAAGAUUUA